This 30-nucleotide small RNA is filed under the name Bombyx mori (domestic silkworm). Its description in RNAcentral is "ovarian small RNA-35651". Lineage: Eukaryota; Metazoa; Arthropoda; Insecta; Lepidoptera; Bombycidae. The record is from RNAcentral.
UGUCAUGGAUGCAUCGAGGGUGACUCCCAG